MicroRNA precursor from Ophiophagus hannah (king cobra), 86 nucleotides. It matches the Rfam family "mir-142 microRNA precursor family". The record is from Rfam. NCBI's taxonomy places the organism in Eukaryota, Metazoa, Chordata, Lepidosauria, Squamata, Elapidae.
CAGUGGACUCAUCCAUAAAGUAGAAAGCACUACUAAACGCUUGUGUCCAAGUGUAGUGUUUCCUACUUUAUGGAUGAGUGUACUGU